Molecule: ribosomal RNA, 1000 nt
Filed under: Lactococcus garvieae
Lineage: Bacteria; Bacillati; Bacillota; Bacilli; Lactobacillales; Streptococcaceae
Description: bacterial SSU rRNA
Rfam family: Bacterial small subunit ribosomal RNA
Source: RNAcentral
AUUACUGUAGGUAGCGGGUAUUUUAUCCAGGAAAAGGAAUGUGCUAACUUACGUGGCACGCAGCCCUCGUCAAUACGUCGGGUCGCCAAAUAGUUGUGCCGGAUUUCAUUUGGGCUUACAAGCGUAUGCGCAGGGUAGUUUACUUAAACUCCUGAUGUAAUAUGUGCAGUGGGCUUCAACAAUUGUGGUGGCAUUGGAACCUGGGAGACUUGAGUGCAGGAGAGGAGAGUGGAAUUUCCAUGUGUAGCGGUUAAAUGCGUAGAUAUAUGGAAGAAACACCGGAGGCGAAAGCGGCUCUGUGGCCUGUAACUGACACUGAGGCUCGAAAGCGUGGGGAGGCAAACAGGAUUAGAUACCCUGGUAGUCCACGCCGUAAACGAUGAGUGCUAGCUGUAGGGAGCUAUAAGUUCUAUGUAGCGCAGCUAACGCAUUAAGCACUCCGCCUGGGGAGUACGACCGCAAGGGUGAAACUCAAAGGAAUUUACGGGGGCCCGCACAAGCGGUGGAGCAUGUGGUUUAAUUCGAAGCAACGCGAAGAACCUUACCAGGUCUUGACAUACUCGUGCUAUCCUUAGAGAUAAGGAGUUCCUUCGGGACACGGGAUACAGGUGGUGCAUGGUUGUCGUCAGCUCGUGUCGUGAGAUGUUGGGUUAAGUCCCGCAACGAGCGCAACCCUUAUUACUAGUUGCCAUCAUUAAGUUGGGCACUCUAGUGAGACUGCCGGUGAUAAACCGGAGGAAGGUGGGGAUGACGUCAAAUCAUCAUGCCCCUUAUGACCUGGGCUACACACGUGCUACAAUGGAUGGUACAACGAGUCGCCAACCCGCGAGGGUGCGCUAAUCUCUUAAAACCAUUCUCAGUUCGGAUUGCAGGCUGCAACUCGCCUGCAUGAAGUCGGAAUCGCUAGUAAUCGCGGAUCAGCACGCCGCGGUGAAUACGUUCCCGGGCCUUGUACACACCGCCCGUCACACCACGGAAGUUGGGUAGUACCACGACAAAG